Molecule: ribosomal RNA, 460 nt
Filed under: uncultured bacterium
Lineage: Bacteria
Description: partial 16S ribosomal RNA
Rfam family: Bacterial small subunit ribosomal RNA
Source: RNAcentral
CCUACGGGAGGCAGCAGUGAGGAAUAUUGGUCAAUGGGCGCAAGCCUGAACCAGCCAAGUCGCGUGAGGGAUGACGGUCCUAUGGAUUGUAAACCUCUUUAGGCGGGGAGCAAUGCCGGGCACGUGUGCCCGGAGGGAGAGUACCCGCAGAAUAAGCAUCGGCUAACUCCGUGCCAGCCGCCGCGGUAAUACGGAGGAUGCGAGCGUUAUCCGGAUUUAUUGGGUUAAAAGGGUGCGUAGGCGGAGUUUUAAGUCAGCGGUAAAAUGUCCGGGCUCAACACGGGCCGGCCGUUGAAACGGGGGAUCUUGAGUGGGCGAGAAGUAAGCGGAAUGCGUGGUGUAGCGGUGAAAUGCAUAGAUAUCACGCAGAACUCCGAUUGCGAAGGCAGCAUACCGGCGCCCGACUGACGCUGAGGCACGAAAGCGUGGGGAUCGAACAGGAUUAGAUACCCUAGUAGUC